CAGCCGCCGCGGUAAUACCGGCGGCCCGAGUGGUGGCCGCUAUUAUUGGGCCUAAAGCGUCCGUAGCCGGGCCCGUAAGUCCCUGGCGAAAUCCCACGGCUCAACCGUGGGGCUUGCUGGGGAUACUGCGGGCCUUGGGAGCGGGAGAGGCCGAGGGUAUUCCCGGAGUAGGGGUGAAAUCCUAUAAUCCCGGGAGGACCACCUGUGGCGAAGGCGCUCGGCUGGAACGCGUCCGACGGUGAGGGACGAAGGCCAGGGGAGCAAACCGGAUUAGAUACCCGGGUAGUCCUGGCUGUAAACGAUGCGGACUUUGUGUCGGACAAGCUAUGAGCUUGUCCGGUGCCGGAGGGAAACCGUUAAGUCCGCCGCCUGGGGAGUACGGCCGCAAGGCUGAAACUUAAAGGAAUUGGCGGG
Molecule: ribosomal RNA, 414 nt
Filed under: uncultured microorganism
Description: bacterial SSU rRNA
Rfam family: Archaeal small subunit ribosomal RNA
Source: RNAcentral